GACGAACGCUGGCGGCGUGCUUAACACAUGCAAGUCGAACGGAAAGGCCCUGCUUUUGUGGGGUGCUCGAGUGGCGAACGGGUGAGUAACACGUGAGUAACCUGCCCUUGACUUUGGGAUAACUUCAGGAAACUGGGGCUAAUACCGGAUAGGAGCUCCUGCUGCAUGGUGGGGGUUGGAAAGUUUCGGCGGUUGGGGAUGGACUCGCGGCUUAUCAGCUUGUUGGUGGGGUAGUGGCUUACCAAGGCUUUGACGGGUAGCCGACCUGAGAGGGUGACCGGCCACAUUGGGACUGAGACACGGGCCAGACUCCUCCGGGAGGAAGCAGUGGGGAAUAUUGCACAAUGGGCGGAAGCCUGAUCCAGCAACGCCGCGUGCGGGAUGACGGCUUUCGGGUGGUAAACCGCUUUCGCCUGUGACGAAGCGUGAGUGACGGUAAUGGGUAAAGAAGCACCGGCUAACUACGUG
RNAcentral lists this ribosomal RNA (468 nucleotides) under uncultured bacterium. Its description in RNAcentral is "partial 16S ribosomal RNA". It matches the Rfam family "Bacterial small subunit ribosomal RNA", at positions 28 to 507 of the family's 1533-position model. The record is from RNAcentral.